RNAcentral lists this small RNA (29 nucleotides) under Bombyx mori (domestic silkworm). RNAcentral's name for it is "ovarian small RNA-36548". Lineage: Eukaryota; Metazoa; Arthropoda; Insecta; Lepidoptera; Bombycidae. The record is from RNAcentral.
UUACGGAUCUGCGACGCCGCCGGCGAUGG